Long non-coding RNA from Hibiscus syriacus, 149 nucleotides. RefSeq lists it as uncharacterized. The transcript has 3 exons. The record is from RefSeq and is a predicted model, not a curated record. NCBI's taxonomy places the organism in Eukaryota, Viridiplantae, Streptophyta, Magnoliopsida, Malvales, Malvaceae.
UGCAUGAUUAGGCAUUGUUAUUGUGUUAUAAUUUCGAAUAAAAUGCAGUAAAUUAUGACAAUCCGAAUGAGUUCUGAUGCCAGCAGUACUGCAGAAAUGGAAUGUGUAGUUCUCUAGCUGGAUUUACAUAAAAGAAACUAAUGUACCUG